CCUACGGGUGGCAGCAGUGAGGAAUAUUGGUCAAUGGGCGCGAGCCUGAACCAGCCAAGUCGCGUGAGGGAAGACGGCCCUACGGGUUGUAAACCUCUUUUGCCGGGGAGCAACGGGCGCCACGUGUGGCGCCACUGAGAGUACCCGGAGAAAAAGCAUCGGCAAACUCCGUGCCAGCAGCCGCGGUAAUACGGGGGAUGCGAGCGUUAUCCGGAUUUAUUGGGUUUAAAGGGUGCGUAGGGGGAGCGUUAAGUACGUGGUCAAAUUGAGGGGCUCAACCCCUUACCGCCAUUGAAACUGGCGCUCUUGAGAGGAAGAGAAGUAUGCGGAAUGCGGGGUGUAGCGGUGAAAUGCAUAGAUAUCACGCAGAACCCCGAUUGCGAAGGCAGCAUGCCGGCUUCCGACUGACGCUGAAGCACGAAAGCGUGGGGAUCGAACAGGAUUAGAUACCCGGGUAGUC
Molecule: ribosomal RNA, 460 nt
Filed under: uncultured bacterium
Lineage: Bacteria
Description: partial 16S ribosomal RNA
Rfam family: Bacterial small subunit ribosomal RNA
Source: RNAcentral